This is a long non-coding RNA of Rhagoletis pomonella (apple maggot), 498 nucleotides long. RefSeq lists it as uncharacterized. The record is from RefSeq and is a predicted model, not a curated record. The transcript is spliced from 3 exons. Lineage: Eukaryota; Metazoa; Arthropoda; Insecta; Diptera; Tephritidae.
UCAACAAAUUACUUAAAUACUAGUAUUAAAAAAGUGAAAAUAGUGCGAAUUUAUGUAAACAUAUAUGUUUCUUAGAAUCCUCGUAAAGUUUCAGGAGAAAAUUCGUUAUAGUUUUGCUAAAACACACACAUGUCGAUGUACACUAAAAUCAACCCAUUUAUAGACCGUUGACUUAGGAAUUCUAUAGUGGCAAACAUUACCAUGCUAUGUUCAGGUCGAAGCUACAUUGCCGGACUGCAAUCACUUCAACCAGAAGCCGUGUUAUCUUCCCAUCAAAGAUGCGAUAUGCACUUAUGCUUGCGAGAACCGUUUGCCGUGUGGUCAUAUGUGCCAGCUUAAGUGUCAUGUUAACAAAGACCCGGAACAUAUCGAGGUUUUCAGUACAAGUGCUACAGAGAUUGCGAUCGGAUUAAUGACAAUUGUGUGGAAAAUCACACGUGUAAGAAACAAUACUUCGAAGAAUGCGAACUGUGUCCAAAAAUUGUUGCGAAAACUCGC